This 1827-nucleotide unclassified non-coding RNA is filed under the name Hevea brasiliensis (rubber tree). Lineage: Eukaryota; Viridiplantae; Streptophyta; Magnoliopsida; Malpighiales; Euphorbiaceae. The record is from RNAcentral.
UAGGAUGCCUUUGUUGUUGUAGAACCGCAUCUGUGCCACUCCUAGCAGCAUCACACCCGAUUAUAAACUCAUCAUCAAAGUUGGGUAGCUGCAACACAGGUGCAGUAGUGAGGGUGUGCUUUAAUUUAGAAAAGAAAGAAAAGGCUAAGUCAUUCCAUUGAAAACAAUUGCAUUUAAGCAUGCUUGUUGAAGGGGCAAAAUCUGACCAUAGUUUUUGAUGAAUUUGUGGUAAUAUCCCGUUAAUCCUAAGAAUCCAUGUAGAGCAGAGUAGUGGAUUGAGGUUGCAACAAUUCAAUAAACGGCUUGAAUUUUACUUGCAUCAAUUGCUACACGUGCAUUGGAGAUAGUAUGUCCUAUAUAUGCUAUGUGAGUUUCCCCAGAAGAGCACUUGGACUUCUUCAAAUAAAGAUGGUGAGCACGUAAUAAAUAAAAAACUAUCCGAAUGUGAAAUUAAACGGUCAUCUUAUGUUUUGCUAUAAAUUAAGAUGUCAUUGAAGAAGAUAAGGGCAAUAGAGGCAAAUGUUUGUGGAAUACCUUUUAUUCAUAAGGGCCUGAAAUGUUAAAGGCGUAUUGGUGAUUUGUUGGGUCGGAUGAGGCCUUGUUGGAGCAUUUGUUCACAUUGUUUUUCUAUUUCAUCUUUUAGGAGGCGUGGAUAGCAGUAGGGUCGAACCACAAUAGGCUAGCACUUGGUUGCAACCAAAUUUGGUGGCUACAGGUUCUAAGUGGCAGUAAUCCUGAUAGUUGGUCCCCAAGGUCCCUCUUCCUUUGUAGUUAGUGAACCUUAUACCUCUUAGUGGGCUAUUGCUCUUUGGCUAGAAAUUUGUUUGUUGUCUAGCCCAAAACUUGUGAUGAGUGAGGCAAAGUCUUAUAUAAUUAGACCCAACGUUGUUUGCCAUUAGACACUAAGAAAAAUGUCAAAACCAGUCAAAGGAAUUAGGGGUGUGUAAACGAUCAGUUCGGUUUAAAUUGAUAAAAUCGAUAACUGAAAAUCAAGAAUUUUGAAGACCGAUCCAAACCGAUCACUAGGAGACAACCGAACCGAACCAAACCAAACCAAACCGAACCAAACCGAUAAAUAUUGGUUUGGUUCGGUUUUAAACUGAUCGAACCAAAUUUUGUAAGACGAAAUGCGAAAUUUCAGUUUCAAAUUCAAUCCCACAACCACCAACAAUUGCUAAACAGUAAAAGAAAUCACAGAAUAACAGAACAGAAAUUGCAAAAAAUAACAAUCGCAAAACAAUCCCUUCAUGAUCUGUUGAUAAUCUGCAACUAUGCAAAAGAAUAGAAUAAUCUGCAUGCAACCACAGACUCGAACAAUAACAUUGCUCGUCAAUUGGAGCCACAAUCCACGGAUCCCUUCAUGGAGGCAAGAUCGGCAUAGCCUAAAGGUGAGAUUUUGAUGGGUCGCUCCACCUUCUCUUAUGGUCAAAUCUGGAGGCAAACAGUGCCUGCGAGACUUGAGAGUACCCAAUAGCCAUUAAUGAUUUGGGUGGAUCAGAAGAAGAAAAAGAAAAAGAAAUGGAGAAGAGAUUAAGGAGGAGCAGGAGGAGGAAGGGAAGCGAGCAUGUAUACUCUAGGAGAAGAGGAAGCGAUGAAGGCAAGUGGGCGAGGGAUUGAGGGAGUGAGGGUCUCAUUUGAUCUGAGUGGUAAGCAUGUGUGUGUGUGUAUUAAUUUGGGUUCGAUUCGGUUUUCCGAUUUUUAAUGAAAAUAAGCGAAUUGAACCGAUUAAUCGAAAUUAUUAAAAUUCAUAAACCAAACCAAACCGAUUGAAUUUUAAAACCGAAUCGAUUGAACCGAAUUGAAUCGGUUUGGUUCGGUUUUUCGGUU